Non-coding RNA from Paramuricea clavata, 1519 nucleotides. Lineage: Eukaryota; Metazoa; Cnidaria; Anthozoa; Malacalcyonacea; Plexauridae. The record is from the annotation of a GenBank genome assembly.
UCUUAUUUUCACUCAGGUGCACCUCCUAAACUGAGCGGCGAUUCGCCAGAGGAUUUCACGAAUUUUGCCGACUACUUCCGACAACUGGGAUGUAACAUUGAUGGAGGCACGACUUACCAGUGGUUCCACAAUGGCACUUUGGUCACACAAACUUCACCCAUGUUUUACAUAUUCAGCAAGCAACUAGUAGUCAAGGCAAACUCAGCCACUCCCAACUAUCAAGGAACAUAUCAAUGCAAAGCUUCUAAUGAUGAUGGAACAUUACUGGGUCCAAAGAUUAAUGUCUAUUUCUCAAGUACGUGUGUCAACAAAUCUCAUGAAAUUUUUUUGAUGAAAAUUUUGAAUUAACUAAUGAAGGCAAACCUAAUCCAGUAUUUUCCAACACCCGCCAACAUUACCAAACCAACAUGUUAAAGGAAUAUGGCAAUAUAAAUUAAAUUUGUCUUAUGCAUACGUCAUAGGGUAAAAAGCGAAAUUUUUAUCUUGCAAACCACAUGUCAUUAUCAAUAUGAAACUCGAUUUUCCGAAGUCUUUUUAGUUCUCAAUUAACUGACAACAUUUUAAGAAACGUUUCGAAGAAAUUUAGUCCGACAUGAAGAAGUUUUAAUAAGUUUACCCUGCUUGUGACGUCUUCAAAAAUUCAGUUAAUUAGGUCAAAUAUAAUACCAAGAGCCAGGACUACAUGCUGUUUUUGGUCAAAAUAUUUCGAAAACCAAGCAAGGUACGAAAAGGGUCUUCUUCAUAUAUAAAUUUAAAAGUUAUUUCAAAUAAGACAAAGUUAAUUUUCAUUGCCAUAUCCCUUUAAGUGGAAAUAUUGGACGAUCUUGUACCAACGUGUUCAUGGACCGCGCAUCGAUUUUACCAUUGGGGGUGGCGUUGAUAUGACCCUACUCUUCCUACUGGGGGUCUGGUGCAUGCCGCACAGAGAAUAUUGAAAAUUUCAAGCCCCCAAAUUGCAUUAUUUUCCAGCCAUUUCCUACAAUAAAUUUGUUUCAAAGUAAACAUGCAUGCGUGUGAAACACAUGCUAUCAAUUUCACAAAACAAGCACGGGUGUAGGGGGGGGGGGGGCUGAAGCUACCCUCACAGGCCCCGCCCCGCUUGCGCGGUCCCUGGUCUUGGACCGGUUUGGGGGGGCCUUCAUAAUGCAUUUUCAUUUCUCGUUCAGUUGUUGGCAAAUUCAUCAAGAAUGAUGAAAUGAUCGAUGAUGCAGAUGUGACGGUAGGAAAGGAUCUCGCCCUAACCUGCCCCCCUCGCACCUUGUCCCGCAACGUUUUCUACCACUGGGGCGGUCGACAGGGUGUCACAGGGACGUGGUUCGUUCCCCAGGCGGCACACUACAUGAUCAUGGAGGAUGGGACAUUACUAUUCGCUAAUGUGAAGGACAAAGAUCUUGAGUAUUUUAAUGUCGUGAAAGAUGGCGUCAGCUGCAGCAUCGAGUCGAAGGGGAAGAACAAAAGGUUGGCGUUCUCGCAGAGGUUUUUGUUACGCGAAGUCGGAGGUACGAAUACCAACUUUUUU